Molecule: long non-coding RNA, 663 nt
Filed under: Bos indicus x Bos taurus (hybrid cattle)
Lineage: Eukaryota; Metazoa; Chordata; Mammalia; Artiodactyla; Bovidae
Description: lncRNA (ENSBIXG00000020970.1)
Source: RNAcentral
GAGGUGAACCUCCUACAGGACUGUCUGUGGGCCCAGGGCUUGGAAUGGACCCUCUUAGAACUUCGCUUCCGCUCCUUGAGGCUGCCUCUGUGGCCGCCCGAGGCCCCAGAGCUGUGAGACUUGGCAAAGUAAUUAAGACUGAGAACCCAACCGAGCGGAGCUGAGUAAAAGGUGGGCGGGCCCAUCCCACAGGCCAAAUGUUUUGGAAAGGCAAAAGCAGGAGAGUUGGAGAAACUAGUAGCUGCUGUGAGACAGAGGCUGUAGGUAGAGAUGUCCCUCAGCUCUAAGAAAGCCAAGGGAAAGACAGAACACAUCUUCACAGCUGCAGACUUCAACCAAGAAGGUGCACGGGGAUUAUCCUUUUUCUGGCCACAAACAGAAAUAUGUGCUGAAAGAUCAGUGAAUUUGAAGUUGCUGGAAAAAAGAGACUGAUACACAGCUGAAUUACAGGAGGCUUAAUGAUUCACAUAUGAAAGAGAGGCCAGAGACAAAAGCUUAUUUCUCCAGUUCAUUCAAGAAAAUGUGUGGGGCCUUCCCUGGUGGCUCAGUGGUAAAGAAUCUGCCUGGCCAGUGCAGGAAAUGUGGGUUUGAUCCCUAAUGCAGGAAGAUCCCACAUGCUGUGGAGCAACUAAGCCUAUGCACCAGAACUACUGAGCUUGUGCU